Molecule: long non-coding RNA, 505 nt
Organism: Salvelinus fontinalis (brook trout)
Lineage: Eukaryota; Metazoa; Chordata; Actinopteri; Salmoniformes; Salmonidae
Exons: 2
Source: RefSeq, a predicted model, not a curated record
AACAUCUGCUUGCUUCCAUCCCCUCAGAGUGCCUCAGUGCUGUUGCUCUAAGAUCGCGAAUGCUCAUGUGCCAAUUGCAUCUCAACAAGUAAACCGUCAGUGGUUGUACUGUAUUUUGACUAACGUUUUUAUUAAAAAGCAUGGAUUUUAGCAAACGAAGAAAGACAUUCAACAACAGAAAACAAACAUCGGUACACGGUCAGUCCUUUGAUCUGUCUGCGUGCCAUCAUCAGUCCCACCCUGCUGUACAUACAGAUGAAGUCCAUGUAGAGUUUGGCGUCCUCCACAUCCAACAGUUGGACCUCCUCAGGCUUCUGGAACUUCUACCGAGAGACCGGUAGAGGGGCUAAUGGUCUGUACACAUUGCAAGCGACAAGUCAUUUGAUCGGUGCUCAUGGACAAAAAGGAGAUCAGGCUGUUCAUGCGAGCAGAUGGAAAAAUAAGUCACUACGUUGUUUAGGUUGUGCUCGGGUAGGAAAAAAUAAAUAAAACCCCUCUUGCUGUA